UACGUAGGGGGCAAGCGUUGUCCGGAUUUAUUGGGCGUAAAGCGCGCGUAGGCGGCGCGGUAUGUCGUGCGUGAAAUCUCCCGGCUUAACUGGGAGGGGUCGUGCGAAACUGCCGGGCUUGAGGUCGGAAGGGGAAAGUGGAAUUCCGGGUGCAGUGGUGGAAUACGUAGAUAUCCGGAGGAACACCAGCGGCGAAGGCGGCUUUCUGGUCCGAUACUGACGCUGAGGUGCGAAAGCGUGGGGAGCGAUCCGG
Molecule: ribosomal RNA, 253 nt
Filed under: uncultured bacterium
Lineage: Bacteria
Description: partial 16S ribosomal RNA
Rfam family: Bacterial small subunit ribosomal RNA
Source: RNAcentral